This 107-nucleotide small nucleolar RNA is filed under the name Gossypium raimondii (Peruvian cotton). RNAcentral's name for it is "snoRNA LOC128032305". It matches the Rfam family "Plant small nucleolar RNA R71". From Rfam's summary of the family: R71 is a member of the C/D box family of snoRNAs containing the C (UGAUGA) and D (CUGA) box motifs. Multiple nearly identical copies of this snoRNA have been identified in Arabidopsis, and it is thought to function as a 2'-O-ribose methylation guide for 18S ribosomal RNA. The record is from Rfam by way of RNAcentral. Lineage: Eukaryota; Viridiplantae; Streptophyta; Magnoliopsida; Malvales; Malvaceae.
AAUCCGUGGUUUGGGCAUUUCUAAAUUAGCGUCUUAAAAUGCUCUCAUGCUUUGUGAAAGCUUUCCCCUUCUAACUGCUUGCACAUUGAAAUUUCCCUUCUUAGUUA